RNAcentral lists this long non-coding RNA (935 nucleotides) under Numida meleagris (helmeted guineafowl). RNAcentral's name for it is "lncRNA (ENSNMEG00000001006.1)". The record is from RNAcentral. Lineage: Eukaryota; Metazoa; Chordata; Aves; Galliformes; Numididae.
AGGCGAAGGCCUGGGACAGCACCUGGUGCCGGUUCUCCCACAUCCUGCCCAGCUCCUCCCAACCCGUGUCCAGCGCCUCCAGGCGCCGCUGCAGGAAGACGUGCUGCGCGUCCGUCUGUCCCCGCGUCACCUCGCCGCCCACCGCCCUGGUGCUGCGGUAAUCGUCGCCGUAGUGGGCGAUCUCCUUGCGGAUGCUCUCGUGCUGGCUCAGCAACCGCUCGGCUUCUCCCAGCGUGGCCGGCACGUCCUCGGAGGCCACGGCGGUUUGGGCAGCGCCGCAGCUCGGCCCACACCGCCUCGAUGCCCGCCAGCCGCUGGCCGAUGCCGGCCUCGUGCUCCGGGUGCUCGGCCGACAGCUUGUCCGCCUCGGCGCGCAGCUCGUGCACCUUGCCCUGGAUGGCCUCCAGGUCUCGCUCCAUGCCCGACAGCUUGCGCUGCAGCGCCAUGACGCCGGCCAGGUGGAAGUUCUGGAUGUUGAGCGCCGAGGUCAGCGCUUCCUUCUUCUGGUCGGCCAAGGCGCGGAACCGCUCCCACCUGCAUGGGGGGAACGUGGGGACGCUGUGGUCACCGUGCCCGGAGCUGGGCGCAGGGUGACACGGAACUGACAGAGGGGGUGGGGUAGGCCGGAGGGUCCUUAAAGAUCGUAGAAUGGGUUCAGGUGGGUCAGGGGGUCCUUAAAGAUCACAAAAGCAUGGAAGGGAUUGGGCUGGGUUGGGUUGGGUUGAGUUGGGAUAGACUGAGUUGUAUUGGGUUGGGUUGAGUUGGGUUGGGUUGGUUGAGUUGGAUUGAGUUGGGUUGGUUGAGUUGAGUUGGGUUGAGUUGGUUUGGGUUGGGAUGAGUUGGGUUGGGUUGGGUUGGGUUGGUUGAGUUGGGUUGAAUUGGGUAGGGUUGAGUUGGGUUGGGUUGGUUGAGUUGGGUUGAGUUGGGUUGGGUUG